RNAcentral lists this ribosomal RNA (406 nucleotides) under uncultured soil bacterium. Its description in RNAcentral is "bacterial SSU rRNA". It matches the Rfam family "Bacterial small subunit ribosomal RNA", at positions 26 to 426 of the family's 1533-position model. The record is from RNAcentral.
AGAUUGAACGCUGGCGGCAGGCCUAACACAUGCAAGUCGAGCGGCAGCACGGGUACUUGUACCUGGUGGCGAGCGGCGGACGGGUGAGUAAUGCCUAGGAAUCUGCCUGAUAGUGGGGGAUAACGCUCGGAAACGGACGCUAAUACCGCAUACGUCCUACGGGAGAAAGCAGGGGACCUUCGGGCCUUGCGCUAUCAGAUGAGCCUAGGUCGGAUUAGCUAGGUUGGUGGGUAAUGGCUCACCAAGGCGACGAUCCGUAACUGGUCUGAGAGGAUCGAUCAGUCACACUGGAACUGACGACACGGUCCAGACUCCUACGGGAGGCAGCAGUGGGAAUAGUGGACAAGUGGGACAAAGCCUGAUCCGAAGCCAAGUCGCCGCGUGGUCGAGUAAGACGUACGUUCGG